CGGACGGGUGAGUAACGCGUGAGAAUCUAGCUUCAGGUCGGGGACAACAGUUGGAAACGACUGCUAAUACCGGAUGUGCCGAGAGGUGAAAGGUUAACUGCCUGAAGAUGAGCUCGCGUCUGAUUAGCUAGUUGGGGGUGUAAGAGACCACCAAGGCGACGAUCAGUAGCUGGUCUGAGAGGAUGAUCAGCCACACUGGGACUGAGACACGGCCCAGACUCCCACGGGAGGCAGCAGUGGGGAAUUUUCCGCAAUGGGCGAAAGCCUGACGGAGCAAUACCGCGUGAGGGAGGAAGGCUCUUGGGUUGUAAACCUCUUUUCUCAGGGAAUAAAAAAUGAAGGUACCUGAGGAAUAAGCAUCGGCUAACUCCGUGCCAGCAGCCGCGGUAAUACGGAGGAUGCAAGCGUUAUCCGGAAUGAUUGGGCGUAAAGGGUCCGCAGGUGGCACUGUAAGUCUGCUGUCAAAGAGCAAGGCUCAACCUUGUAAAGGCAGUGGAAACUACAGAGCUAGAGUACGUUCGGGGCAGAAGGAAUUCCUGGUGUAGCGGUGAAAUGCGUAGAGAUCAGGAAGAACACCGGUGGCGAAAGCGUUCUGCUAGGCCUGUACUGACACUGAGGGACGAAAGCUAGGGGAGCGAAUGGGAUUAGAUACCCCAGUAGUC
Molecule: ribosomal RNA, 662 nt
Filed under: uncultured cyanobacterium
Lineage: Bacteria; Bacillati; Cyanobacteriota
Description: bacterial SSU rRNA
Rfam family: Bacterial small subunit ribosomal RNA
Source: RNAcentral